RNAcentral lists this ribosomal RNA (253 nucleotides) under uncultured bacterium. RNAcentral's name for it is "partial 16S ribosomal RNA". It matches the Rfam family "Bacterial small subunit ribosomal RNA", at positions 524 to 776 of the family's 1533-position model. The record is from RNAcentral.
GACGAACCGUGCAAACGUUGUUCGGAAUCACUGGGCUUAAAGGGCGCGUAGGCGGGCCAGCCAGUCUGUGGUGAAAGCCCCCGGCUUAACCGGGGAAGUGCCGUGGAUACUGCUGGCCUCGAGGAGGAUAGGGGCAUCUGGAACGGUCGGUGGAGCGGUGAAAUGCGUUGAUAUCGACCGGAACUCCGGUGGCGAAGGCGAGGUGCUGGGUCCUUUCUGACGCUGAUGCGCGAAAGCCAGGGGAGCAAACAGG